GACGAACGCUGGCGGCGUGCCUAACACAUGCAAGUCGAACGGAACUGUUUUGAAAGAUCUCUUCGGGAUGAAUUUGAUUUAGUUUAGUGGCGGACGGGUGAGUAACGCGUGAGUAACCUGCCUUCAAGAGGGGAAUAACAUUCUGAAAAGAAUGCUAAUACCGCAUGACAUAUCGGAACCACAUGGUUUUGAUAUCAAAGAUUUUAUCGCUUGAAGAUGGACUCGCGUCCGAUUAGUUAGUUGGUGAGGUAACGGCUCACCAAGACCGCGAUCGGUAGCCGGACUGAGAGGUUGAACGGCCACAUUGGGACUGAGACACGGCCCAGACUCCUACGGGAGGCAGCAGUGGGGGAUAUUGCGCAAUGGGGGCAACCCUGACGCAGCAACGCCGCGUGAAGGAUGAAGGUUUUCGGAUUGUAAACUUCUUUUAUUAAGGACGAAAAAUGACGGUACUUAAUGAAUAAGCUCCGGCUAACUACGUG
RNAcentral lists this ribosomal RNA (482 nucleotides) under uncultured bacterium. RNAcentral describes it as "partial 16S ribosomal RNA". It matches the Rfam family "Bacterial small subunit ribosomal RNA", at positions 28 to 507 of the family's 1533-position model. The record is from RNAcentral.